RNAcentral lists this transfer RNA (66 nucleotides) under Rhynocoris fuscipes. RNAcentral describes it as "tRNA-Asn". Lineage: Eukaryota; Metazoa; Arthropoda; Insecta; Hemiptera; Reduviidae. The record is from RNAcentral.
UUAACUGAAGCCAAAAAGAGGCAUUUCAUUGUUAAUGAAAAUACUGAUUUUUUAAAUCCAGUUAAA